UUGCCACCAUUCAGUUGGGCAACUCUAAGGAGACUGCCGGUGUUAAACCGGAGGAAGUGGGGAUGACGUCAAGUCCUCAUGGCCCUUAUAUCCAGGGCUACACACGUGCUACAAUGGCCGGUACAAAGGGUCGCAAUACCGCAAGGUGGAGCUAAUCCCAAAAAGCCGGUCUCAGUUCGGAUUGGAGUCUGCAACUCGACUCCAUGAAGUCGGAAUCGCUAGUAAUCGCGUAUCAGCAUGACGCGGUGAAUACCGGUUCCCGGGCCUU
This 268-nucleotide ribosomal RNA is filed under the name uncultured Geothermobacter sp. RNAcentral describes it as "partial 16S ribosomal RNA". It matches the Rfam family "Bacterial small subunit ribosomal RNA", at positions 1116 to 1382 of the family's 1533-position model. Lineage: Bacteria; Pseudomonadati; Thermodesulfobacteriota; Desulfuromonadia; Desulfuromonadales; Geothermobacteraceae. The record is from RNAcentral.